AGCAGCCGCGGUAAUUCCAGCUCCAAUAGCGUAUAUUAAAGUUGUUGCAGUUAAAAAGCUCGUAGUUGAAUUUCGGGGUCAGUAGGUCGGUCGUGCCACAGGUAUGCACUGGUCUCACUGAUUCCUCCUUCCUGAUGAACCGGAAUGCCAUUAAUUUGGUGUUGCGGGGAGACUGGACUGUUACUUUGAAAAAUUAGAGUGUUUAAAGCAGGCUAACGCUUGAAUACAUUAGCAUGGAAUAACGGAAUAGGACGUUCGAUCUUAUUUUGUUGGUUUCUAAGAUUGACGUAAUGAUUAAUAGGGAUAGUUGGGGGCAUUAGUAUUCAAUUGUCAGAGGUGAAAUUCUUGGAUUUAUUGAAGACUAACAACUGCGAAAGCAUUUGCCAAGGAUGUUUUCAUUAAUCAAGAACGAAAGUUGGGGGCUCGAAGACGAUCAGAUACCGUCCUAGUCUCAACCAUAAACGAUGCCGACCAGGGAUCGGCGGAUGUUACUUUUAGGACUCCGCCGGCACCUUAUGGG
Molecule: small RNA, 520 nt
Filed under: uncultured Entrophospora
Lineage: Eukaryota; Fungi; Glomeromycota; Glomeromycetes; Entrophosporales; Entrophosporaceae
Description: SSU rRNA
Rfam family: Eukaryotic small subunit ribosomal RNA
Source: RNAcentral